GUCGAACGGAGCUAGAUGCUGAGGACGUAGCUUGCUAUUGAAUCUUGUUUAGCUUAGUGGCGGACGGGUGAGUAACGCGUGAGCAACCUACCUUUCAGAGGGGGAUAACGUUUGGAAACGAACGCUAAUACCGCAUGAUAUUAUUGGGCAGCAUUGCCUGAUAAUCAAAGGAGCAAUCCGCUGAAAGAUGGGCUCGCGUCCGAUUAGGUAGUUGGCGGGGUAACGGCCCACCAAGCCGACGAUCGGUAGCCGGACUGAGAGGUUGAACGGCCACAUUGGGACUGAGACACGGCCCAGACUCCUACGGGAGGCAGCAGUGAGGGAUAUUGGUCAAUGGGGGAAACCCUGAACCAGCAACGCCGCGUGAGGGAAGACGGUUUUCGGAUUGUAAACCUCUGUCCUCUGUGAAGAUGAUGACGGUAGCAGAGGAGGAAGCUCCGGCUAACUACGUGCCAGCAGCCGCGGUAAUACGUAGGGAGCAAGCGUUGUCCGGAUUUACUGGGUGUAAAGGGUGCGUAGGCGGCUUUGCAAGUCAGAAGUGAAAUCUAUGGGCUUAACCCAUAAACUGCUUUUGAAACUGCAGGGCUUGAGUGAAGUAGAGGUAGGCGGAAUUCCCGGUGUAGCGGUGAAAUGCGUAGAGAUCGGGAGGAACACCAGUGGCGAAGGCGGCCUACUGGGCUUUAACUGACGCUGAGGCACGAAAGCGUGGGUAGCAAACAGGGAUUAGAUACCCUGGUAGUCCACGUUGUAAACGAUGAUUACUAGGUGUGGGUGGACGGACCCCAUCCGUGCCGGAGUUAACACAAUAAGUAAUCCACCUGGGGAGUACGGCCGCAAGGCUGAAACUCAAAGGAAUUGACGGGGGCCCGCACAAGCAGUGGAGUAUGUGGAUUAAUUCGAUGCAACGCGAAGAACCUUACCAGGUCUUGACAUCCCGCUAACGAGGCAGAGAUGCGUUAGGUGCCCUUCGGGGAAAGCGGAGACAGGUGGUGCAUGGUUGUCGUCAGCUCGUGUCGUGAGAUGUUGGGUUAAGUCCCGCAACGAGCGCAACCCUUACGGUUAGUUGCUACGCAAGAGCACUCUAGCCGGACCGCCGUUGACAAAACGGAGGAAGGUGGGGAUGAUGUCAAAUCAUCAUGCCCCUUAUGACCUGGGCCUCACACGUACUACAAUGGCCGUUAACAGAGGGAGGCAAAGCCGCGAGGCAGAGCAAAACCCUAAAAACGGUCUCAGUUCGGAUCGUAGGCUGCAACCCGCCUGCGUGAAGUUGGAAUUGCUAGUAA
Molecule: ribosomal RNA, 1283 nt
Filed under: uncultured bacterium
Lineage: Bacteria
Description: bacterial SSU rRNA
Rfam family: Bacterial small subunit ribosomal RNA
Source: RNAcentral